UGCGUAGGUGGCCAGGUAAGUCGGAUGUGAAAUCUCGGAGCUCAACUCCGAAACUGCAUUGGAAACUGCCUGGCUUGAGGGUUGGAGGGGGGACUGGAAUACUUGGUGUAGCAGUGAAAUGCGUAGAUAUCAAGUGGAACACCAGUGGCGAAGGCGAGUCCCUGGACAACUCCUGACACUGAGGCACGAAAGCUAGGGGAGCAAACA
RNAcentral lists this ribosomal RNA (207 nucleotides) under uncultured bacterium. RNAcentral describes it as "partial 16S ribosomal RNA". It matches the Rfam family "Bacterial small subunit ribosomal RNA", at positions 568 to 774 of the family's 1533-position model. The record is from RNAcentral.